Molecule: long non-coding RNA, 327 nt
Organism: Perca fluviatilis (European perch)
Lineage: Eukaryota; Metazoa; Chordata; Actinopteri; Perciformes; Percidae
Exons: 3
Source: RefSeq, a predicted model, not a curated record
AAGACUUUCCUCCGCUCAAGACUGCUAGCCCGUAUGCUAACGCGGGAAACAAGUUAGCUUUCCACAGCUAGCUAAGCUGCUAGCCCUAGUAUGGAGGAUACAUCAAAGUUGGCCACAGAGACUGAACCUUCCCUCGGUGAUGUUUUAACCACCAUAAGGAACCUGGACAACAAGAUGAAUCCAUUCCACAAGCAAGAAAGCAUUUCAGGACAGAGCCCAUGAGGACCUCCAUUACCCGCAUGGCACAGCGGAUGGACACAUUUGAGGAAAAGAUGGAUGAGCUGCUCAUGCUCUUAAGGAGCUCCCAGUCACCUCCCUCUGCUCCAG